This 252-nucleotide ribosomal RNA is filed under the name uncultured bacterium. Its description in RNAcentral is "partial 16S ribosomal RNA". It matches the Rfam family "Bacterial small subunit ribosomal RNA", at positions 524 to 776 of the family's 1533-position model. The record is from RNAcentral.
UACGUAGGGGGCAAGCGUUAUCCGGAUUUACUGGGUGUAAAGGGAGCGUAGACGGCGAUGCAAGUCUGAAGUGAAAGCCCGGGGCUCAACCCCGGGACUGCUUUGGAAACUGUAUGGCUGAGUGCUGGAGAGGCAAGCGGAAUUCCUAGUGUAGCGGUGAAAUGCGUAGAUAUUAGGAAGAACACCAGUGGCGAAGGCGGCUUGCUGGACAGUAACUGACGUUGAGGCUCGAAAGCGUGGGGAGCAAACAGG